This 448-nucleotide ribosomal RNA is filed under the name uncultured Acholeplasma sp. Its description in RNAcentral is "bacterial SSU rRNA". It matches the Rfam family "Bacterial small subunit ribosomal RNA", at positions 929 to 1382 of the family's 1533-position model. The record is from RNAcentral. Lineage: Bacteria; Bacillati; Mycoplasmatota; Mollicutes; Acholeplasmatales; Acholeplasmataceae.
GCGGUGGAUCAUGUUGUUUAAUUCGAUGAUACGCGAAGAACCUUACCAGGUCUUGACAUCCCCCGCGAUGCUUUAGAGAUAAAGCGGAGGUAUUCGGGGAGACAGGUGGUGCAUGGUUGUCGUCAGCUCGUGUCGUGAGAUGUUGGGUUAAGUCCCGCAACGAGCGCAACCCCUAUUGCUAGUUACCAUCAUUAAGUUGGGGACUCUAGCGAGACUGCCAGUGAUAAACUGGAGGAAGGUGGGGAUGACGUCAAAUCAUCAUGCCCCUUAUGACCUGGGCUACAAACGUGAUACAAUGGCUGGAACAAAGGGAUGCGAAGCAGUGAUGUGGAGCGAAACCCAUAAAAACAGUCUCAGUUCGGAUUGAAGUCUGCAACUCGACUUCAUGAAGUCGGAAUCGCUAGUAAUCGUGAAUCAGAAUGUCACGGUGAAUACGUUCCCGGGCCUU